GCAGGAUGGAUUUCAGUGUUCAGCGUCCCUGGACAUCUGCCUCUAAAACAAAUCUGCACCACAACAGAGGUGGCAUCAGUCAACACAAAGGGCUCAGAUCACAGCUGCCUUUGGGGAGAAUGACAAAAACUGUUCAGGGUUCCUGGGUAAUACGUAUCCAGUUUCUGUGCAUUCAGGGGAAGAGGAGCGUGGAGCAGAAGGAGAGUGGGCACAUGCAAGUCACUCUGAUGCCGUCAUUUAACUUUACAGCUCCGUUGUGCAAAGCUGUUUACAGAAAGGUUGGGGUGAAACUCUCCACUCCUGCUUUCAUACCAUUUGAAGUUCAGACCAGUGAGAUUUCCAUCAGUUGGGAGUUGAAGAUGCCACAAGGACAAGAACUGAGGAUGGUUUGCUCAGAGCUGAUUUUUAGACACCAUUUUCCAGGGAUCCCUGGUGACAGAGGAGCAUUUUUUUUGUGGUUGAGUUCUGAAUUAAAAAGUGUCGUACUA
This is a long non-coding RNA of Homo sapiens (human), 488 nucleotides long. Ensembl annotates it as TM4SF1 antisense RNA 1. Its record names the gene TM4SF1-AS1. The record is from Ensembl. NCBI's taxonomy places the organism in Eukaryota, Metazoa, Chordata, Mammalia, Primates, Hominidae.